Molecule: ribosomal RNA, 233 nt
Filed under: uncultured Candidatus Saccharibacteria bacterium
Lineage: Bacteria; Candidatus Saccharimonadota
Description: partial 16S ribosomal RNA
Rfam family: Bacterial small subunit ribosomal RNA
Source: RNAcentral
UUAGCGUGUAGUGAAUUUUAGGGCUCAACCCUGAACUGUUACACGAACUGCUUGGCUAGAGUAUAUGAGGGGUACCUGGAAUUCCCGGUGUAGGAGUGGAAUCCGUAGAUAUCGGGAGGAACACCAAUGGCGUAGGCAGGGUACUGGCAUAUUACUGACGCUAAGGCACGAAAGCGUGGGGAGCGAACGGGAUUAGAUACCCCGGUAGUCCACGCCGUAAACGAUGGAUGCUA